Salmo salar (Atlantic salmon) is the source of this 54-nucleotide non-coding RNA. Lineage: Eukaryota; Metazoa; Chordata; Actinopteri; Salmoniformes; Salmonidae. The record is from Rfam.
AAUGCACCAAUUUGUAAGUCGCUCUGGAUAAGACCGUCUUCUAAAUGACUUAAA